Molecule: ribosomal RNA, 117 nt
Filed under: Candidatus Iainarchaeum sp.
Lineage: Archaea; Nanobdellati; Candidatus Iainarchaeota; Candidatus Iainarchaeia; Candidatus Iainarchaeales; Candidatus Iainarchaeaceae
Source: RNAcentral
AUUAGCGGCCAUACCGCAGGGGAAACACCCGGUCCCAUUCCGAACCCGGAAGUUAAGCCCUGGAGGGGAUUGGCUGGCGCUGUGCUUACGCAUGGAGCCUCCUUCACGCUGCUAAUC